GACGAACGCUGGCGGCGUGCUUAACACAUGCAAGUCGAACGGAAAGGCCCUGCUUUUGUGGGGUGCUCGAGUGGCGAACGGGUGAGUAACACGUGAGUAACCUGCCCUUGACUUUGGGAUAACUUCAGGAAACUGGGGCUAAUACCGGAUAGGAGCUCCUGCUGCAUGGUGGGGGUUGGAAAGUUUCGGCGGUUGGGGAUGGACUCGCGGCUUAUCAGCUUGUUGGUGGGGUAGUGGCUUACCAAGGCUUUGACGGGUAGCCGGCCUGAGAGGGUGACCGGCCACAUUGGGACUGAGAUACGGCCCAGACUCCUACGGGAGGCAGCAGUGGGGAAUAUUGCACAAUGGGCGGAAGCCUGAUGCAGCAACGCCGCGUGCGGGAUGACGGCCUUCGGGUUGUAAACCGCUUUCGCCUGUGACGAAGCGUGAGUGACGGUAAUGGGUAAAGAAGCACCGGCUAACUACGUGCCAGCAGCCGCGGUGAUACGUAGGGUGCGAGCGUUGUCCGGAUUUAUUGGGCGUAAAGGGCUCGUAGGUGGUUGAUCGCGUCGGAAGUGUAAUCUUGGGGCUUAACCCUGAGCGUGCUUUCGAUACGGGUUGACUUGAGGAAGGUAGGGGAGAAUGGAAUUCCUGGUGGAGCGGUGGAAUGCGCAGAUAUCAGGAGGAACACCAGUGGCGAAGGCGGUUCUCUGGGCCUUUCCUGACGCUGAGGAGCGAAAGCGUGGGGAGCGAACAGGCUUAGAUACCCUGGUAGUCCACGCUGUAAACGGUGGGUACUAGGUGUGGGGUCCAUUCCACGGGUUCCGUGCCGUAGCUAACGCUUUAAGUACCCCGCCUGGGGAGUACGGCCGCAAGGCUAAAACUCAAAGGAAUUGACGGGGCCCCGCACAAGCGGCGGAGCAUGCGGAUUAAUUCGAUGCAACGCGUAGAACCUUACCUGGGUUUGACAUGGAUCGGGAGUGCUCAGAGAUGGGUGUGCCUCUUUUGGGGUCGGUUCACAGGUGGUGCAUGCCUGUCGUCAGCUCGUGUCGUGAGAUGUUGGGUUAAGUCCCGCAACGAGCGCAACCCUUGUUCACUGUUGCCAGCACGUUAUGGUGGGGACUCAGUGGAGACCGCCGGGGUCAACUCGGAGGAAGGUGGGGAUGACGUCAAGUCCUCAUGCCCCUUAUGUCCAGGGCUUCACGCAUGCUACAAUGGCUGGUACAGAGAGUGGCGAGCCUGUGAGGGUGAGCGAAUCUCGGAAAGCCGGUCUCGGUUCGGAUUGGGGUCUGCAACUCGACCUCAUGAAGUCGGAGUCGCUAGUAAUCGCAGAUCAGCAACGCUGCGGUGAAUACGUUCCCGGG
RNAcentral lists this ribosomal RNA (1343 nucleotides) under uncultured bacterium. RNAcentral's name for it is "16S ribosomal RNA". It matches the Rfam family "Bacterial small subunit ribosomal RNA", at positions 28 to 1378 of the family's 1533-position model. The record is from RNAcentral.